RNAcentral lists this ribosomal RNA (465 nucleotides) under Triticum aestivum (bread wheat). RNAcentral's name for it is "partial small subunit ribosomal RNA". Lineage: Eukaryota; Viridiplantae; Streptophyta; Magnoliopsida; Poales; Poaceae. The record is from RNAcentral.
AUGGACCGUUGUUGGACUUCUGACAGGCUGGCACGCCGUGGCCUGCCACACCAGGAUGUGUGUCCUUUUUGCGACCAGCACGACGAAACGAUCAACCACCUACUCGUGGAGUGCGUGCUAGCCAGGGAGGUUUGGACCCGGGUCUUCUCUGCCCUAGGCACUCCGGGUAGCGCGCCGCAGGCAGGAGAGGCAUUGCAGGCAUGGUGCACAAGGCAGAGCGCGCGUGAGCAUCACGCGAAGACGAUCCGCACCAUCUGCCUGCUAACCCUAUGGGAGUUAUGGAAGCACAGGAACGCUAUAGUAUUUGAUGGGGCGGCGGUAUGCCUGGCACGACUUAUGGACAGAAUCGUAAGUGAGAGCAGGGUUUGGAAGCGGGCGGGGCGACUUAGCGGCGGCCUUCAUAGCGGCACCGGAGUGGGCACAGGGCGAGUAGUCAGCUUAGUGCAACGGCGGACGGCGAUGUAA